RNAcentral lists this ribosomal RNA (427 nucleotides) under uncultured bacterium. RNAcentral's name for it is "bacterial SSU rRNA". It matches the Rfam family "Bacterial small subunit ribosomal RNA", at positions 355 to 774 of the family's 1533-position model. The record is from RNAcentral.
UGAGGAAUAUUGGACAAUGGGCGCAAGCCUGAUCCAGCAAUGCCGCGUGCAGGAUGAAGGCCUUCGGGUUGUAAACUGCUUUUAUACGGAGCGAAAAGGUCUGCCCUAAUACGGUGGGCUCAUGACGGUACCGUAAGAAUAAGCACCGGCUAACUACGUGCCAGCAGCCGCGGUAAUACGUAGGGUGCGAGCGUUAAUCGGAAUUACUGGGCGUAAAGCGUGCGCAGGCGGUUAUAUAAGACAGAUGUGAAAUCCCCGGGCUCAACCUGGGACCUGCAUUUGUGACUGUAUAGCUAGAGUACGGUAGAGGGGGAUGGAAUUCCGCGUGUGGCAGUGAAAUGCGUAGAUAUGCGGAGGAACACCGAUGGCGAAGGCAAUCCCCUGGACCUGUACUGACGCUCAUGCACGAAAGCGUGGGGAGCAAACA